UACGUAGGGGGCAAGCGUUGUCCGGACUCAUUGGGCGUAAAGCGCGUGUAGGCGGCUCGGUAAGUCUGCUCUGAAAGCCUGGGGCUCAACCCUGGGAGGCGGGUGGAUACUGCUGAGCUCGAGUCCGGAAGAGGCGAGUGGAAUUCCUGGUGUAGCGGUGAAAUGCGCAGAUAUCAGGAGGAACACCAAUGGCGAAGGCAGCUCGCUGGGACGGUACUGACGCUGAGACGCGAAAGCGUGGGGAGCAAACAGG
Molecule: ribosomal RNA, 253 nt
Filed under: uncultured bacterium
Lineage: Bacteria
Description: partial 16S ribosomal RNA
Rfam family: Bacterial small subunit ribosomal RNA
Source: RNAcentral